AUUGAACGCUGGCGGCAUGCCUUACACAUGCAAGUCGAACGGUAACGGGCCUUCGGGUGCCGACGAGUGGCGAACGGGUGAGUAAUGCAUCGGAACGUACCUUUCAGUGGGGGAUAACGUAGCGAAAGUUACGCUAAUACCGCAUAUUCUGUGAGCAGGAAAGCAGGGGGAUCGCAAGACCUUGCGCUGAUUGAGCGGCCGAUGUCAGAUUAGCUAGUUGGUGAGGUAAAGGCUCACCAAGGCGACGAUCUGUAGCGGGUCUGAGAGGAUGAUCCGCCACACUGGAACUGAGACACGGUCCAGACUCCUACGGGAGGCAGCAGUGGGGAAUUUUGGACAAUGGGGGCAACCCUGAUCCAGCCAUGCCGCGUGAGUGAAGAAGGCCUUCGGGUUGUAAAGCUCUUUCGGCCGGGAAGAAAUCGCAUGGGUUAAUACCCUGUGCGGAUGACGGUACCGGCAUAAGAAGCACCGGCUAACUACGUG
RNAcentral lists this ribosomal RNA (483 nucleotides) under uncultured bacterium. RNAcentral describes it as "bacterial SSU rRNA". It matches the Rfam family "Bacterial small subunit ribosomal RNA", at positions 30 to 507 of the family's 1533-position model. The record is from RNAcentral.